This 56-nucleotide microRNA precursor is filed under the name Rattus norvegicus (Norway rat). RNAcentral's name for it is "Rno-Mir-6715_pre stem-loop". Lineage: Eukaryota; Metazoa; Chordata; Mammalia; Rodentia; Muridae. The record is from RNAcentral.
ACAGGCCGGCAGGUUUGAGCAUUUUGAUUGAAUUGUCAAACCAGGCGUGCCUGUGG